RNAcentral lists this ribosomal RNA (412 nucleotides) under uncultured microorganism. RNAcentral's name for it is "bacterial SSU rRNA". It matches the Rfam family "Archaeal small subunit ribosomal RNA", at positions 459 to 872 of the family's 1478-position model. The record is from RNAcentral.
CAGCCGCCGCGGUAAUACCAGCCCCGCGAGUGGUCGGGACGGUUAUUGGGCCUAAAGCGCCCGUAGCCGGCCCGGCAAGUCCCUCCUUAAAGCCUCGGGCCCAACCCGAGGACGGGGGGGAUACUGCCGGGCUAGGGGGCGGGAGAGGCCGGCGGUACUCCCGGGGUAGGGGCGAAAUCCGUUAAUCCCGGGAGGACCACCAGUGGCGAAGGCGGCCGGCUGGAACGCGCCCGACGGUGAGGGGCGAAAGCCGGGGGAGCGAACCGGAUUAGAUACCCGGGUAGUCCUGGCUGUAAACGAUGCGGACUAGGUGUCGGGCAAGCUAAGGGCUUGUCCGGUGCCGCAGGGAAGCCGUUAAGUCCGCCGCCUGGGGAGUACGGCCGCAAGGCUGAAACUUAAAGGAAUUGGCGGG